GUCGUAUGCUCGUCUCCGAGACUAAGCCAUGCAAGUCCAAGUACACGUCCUUGAACGACGGAAACUGCGAACGGCUCAUUAAAUCAGUUGCGAUCUACUCGGCGUUCCGCGCCGCCGGAUAACCGUAGUAAUUCUAGGGCUAAUACGUGCGAAGCGCCCGAAGCCGAGGCGACGGGCGUUCUCGCCGGAUGUAGGAACCGACCCGGGGACCGCCGGGGCAACCCGGCGCCCCCGAGACGGGGCGAACCACGGUGAAAUGACGGAUCGUCGGCCCCGCGCCGGCGACUCGCCGAAUGAGUUUCUGACCUAUCAACUCGAGACGGCGGGGUAGAGGCCCGCCGCGGUAACGACGGGUAACGGGGAAUCAGGGUUCGAUUCCGGAGAGGGAGCCCGAGAAACGGCUACCACUUCCAAGGAAGGCAG
Molecule: ribosomal RNA, 423 nt
Filed under: uncultured eukaryote
Lineage: Eukaryota
Description: bacterial SSU rRNA
Rfam family: Eukaryotic small subunit ribosomal RNA
Source: RNAcentral